UCUAAUAUGGCAGAUUAGUG
RNAcentral lists this transfer RNA (20 nucleotides) under Cochliomyia hominivorax (primary screw-worm). RNAcentral describes it as "partial transfer RNA-Leu". Lineage: Eukaryota; Metazoa; Arthropoda; Insecta; Diptera; Calliphoridae. The record is from RNAcentral. RNAcentral also lists the same sequence under 19 other names.